This is a non-coding RNA of Encephalitozoon intestinalis ATCC 50506, 154 nucleotides long. The record is from RefSeq and is a predicted model, not a curated record. Lineage: Eukaryota; Fungi; Microsporidia; Unikaryonidae.
ACUUACCACGUGGAGAUGAAACAGCCUUCAUGCGGUUUUCAUCGUGAAUGUCCAAUUCUCACUACACAAAAUGGAGCAAUGGGCAUUCAUCUGGGCAACACCCUCCACACAAUUUCUUUCCUGGGAGAUUAAGCAAGAUCUGCUUUCUCCUUAU